RNAcentral lists this ribosomal RNA (995 nucleotides) under feces metagenome. RNAcentral describes it as "bacterial SSU rRNA". It matches the Rfam family "Bacterial small subunit ribosomal RNA", at positions 8 to 997 of the family's 1533-position model. The record is from RNAcentral.
AGAGUUUGAUCCUGGCUCAGGAUGAACGCUAGCGGCAGGCCUAAUACAUGCAAGUCGGACGGGAUUCCAGUGUAGCUUGCUAUACUGGAUGAGAGUGGCGCACGGGUGCGUAACGCGUGAGCAACCUGCCCAUGUCAGGGGGAUAGCCCGUUGAAAGACGGAUUAAUACCGCAUAACACAUAAGUACCGCAUGGUUCUUAUGUCAAAUAUUUAUAGGACAUGGAUGGGCUCGCGUGGCAUUAGCUAGUUGGUAAGGUAACGGCUUACCAAGGCGAUGAUGCCUAGGGGCUCUGAGAGGAGUGACCCCCACACUGGUACUGAGACACGGACCAGACUCCUACGGGAGGCAGCAGUAGGGAAUAUUGGUCAAUGGGCGGGAGCCUGAACCAGCCAUGCCGCGUGCGGGAAGAAGGCCCUAUGGGUCGUAAACCGCUUUUAUACGGGAACAACCGCAUGUACGUGUACGUGUCUGAGUGUACCGUAGGAAUAAGGAUCGGCUAACUCCGUGCCAGCAGCCGCGGUAAUACGGAGGAUCCGAGCGUUAUCCGGAAUUAUUGGGUUUAAAGGGUGCGUAGGCGGCACUUUAAGUCAGGGGUGAAAUACAGCGGCUCAACCGUUGCAGUGCCCUUGAUACUGAAGUGCUUGAAUUCGGACGAAGGAGGCGGAACGGGACAAGUAGCGGUGAAAUGCAUAGAUAUGUCCCAGAACCCCGAUUGCGAAGGCAGCUUCCUAGGCCGAUAUUGACGCUGAUGCACGAAAGCGUGGGGAUCGAACAGGAUUAGAUACCCUGGUAGUCCACGCCCUAAACGAUGAUGACUCGAUGUUUGCGAUAUAUUGUAAGCGUCCAAGCGAAAGCGUUAAGUCAUCCACCUGGGGAGUACGAUCGCAAGAUUGAAACUCAAAGGAAUUGACGGGGGCCCGCACAAGCGGAGGAGCAUGUGGUUUAAUUCGAUGAUACGCGAGGAACCUUACCCGGGCUUGAAAGUUAGCGACGG